AGAGUUUGAUCCUGGCUCAGGACGAACGCUGGCGGCGUGCUUAACACAUGCAAGUCGAACGGAAAGGCCUCUUCGGAGGUACUCGAGUGGCGAACGGGUGAGUAACACGUGGGCAAUCUGCCCUGCACUUCGGGAUAAGCCUGGGAAACUGGGUCUAAUACCGGAUAGGACCUCAAGACGCAUGUCUUCUGGUGGAAAGCUUUUGCGGUGUGGGAUGGGCCCGCGGCCUAUCAGCUUGUUGGUGGGGUGACGGCCUACCAAGGCGACGACGGGUAGCCGGCCUGAGAGGGUGUCCGGCCACACUGGGACUGAGAUACGGCCCAGACUCCUACGGGAGGCAGCAG
This 344-nucleotide ribosomal RNA is filed under the name uncultured Mycobacterium sp. Its description in RNAcentral is "bacterial SSU rRNA". It matches the Rfam family "Bacterial small subunit ribosomal RNA", at positions 8 to 354 of the family's 1533-position model. The record is from RNAcentral. Lineage: Bacteria; Bacillati; Actinomycetota; Actinomycetes; Mycobacteriales; Mycobacteriaceae.